This 464-nucleotide ribosomal RNA is filed under the name Vreelandella stevensii. RNAcentral's name for it is "partial 16S ribosomal RNA". It matches the Rfam family "Bacterial small subunit ribosomal RNA", at positions 338 to 795 of the family's 1533-position model. The record is from RNAcentral. Lineage: Bacteria; Pseudomonadati; Pseudomonadota; Gammaproteobacteria; Oceanospirillales; Halomonadaceae.
CCUACGGGAGGCAGCAGUGGGGAAUAUUGGACAAUGGGGGGAACCCUGAUCCAGCCAUGCCGCGUGUGUGAAGAAGGCCCUCGGGUUGUAAAGCACUUUCAGUGAGGAAGAACGCCUGGUGGUUAAUACCCAUCAGGAAAGAAAUCACUCACAGAAGAAGCACCGGCUAACUCCGUGCCAGCAGCCGCGGUAAUACGGAGGGUGCGAGCGUUAAUCGGAAUUACUGGGCGUAAAGCGCGCGUAGGUGGCUUGAUAAGCCGGUUGUGAAAGCCCCGGGCUCAACCUGGGAACGCAUCCGGAACUGUCAAGCUAGAGUGCAGGAGAGGAAGGUAGAAUUCCCGGUGUAGCGGUGAAAUGCGUAGAGAUCGGGAGGAAUACCAGUGGCGAAGGCGGCCUUCUGGACUGACACUGACACUGAGGUGCGAAAGCGUGGGUAGCAAACAGGAUUAGAUACCCUAGUAGUC